GACGAACGCUGGCGGCGUGCUUAACACAUGCAAGUCGAACGGAAAGGCCCUGCUUUUGUGGGGUGCUCGAGUGGCGAACGGGUGAGUAACACGUGAGUAACAUGCCCUUGACAUUGGGAUAACUUCAGGAAACUGGGGCUAAUAUCGGAUAGGAGAUCCUGCUGCAUGGUGGGGGUUGGAAAGUUUCGGCGGUUGGGGAUGGACUCGCGGCUUAUCAGCUGGUUGGUGGGGUAGUGGCUUACCAAGGCUUUGACGGAUAGCCGGCCUGAGAGGGUGACCGGCCACAUUGCGACUGAGAUACGGCCCAGUCUCCUACGUGAGGCAGCAGUGGGGAAUAUUGCACAAUGGGCGGAAGCCUGAGGCAGCAACGCCGCGUGCGUGAUGACGUCCUUCGGGUUGUAAACCUCUUUCGCCUGUGACGAAGCGUGAGUGACGGUAAUGGGUAAAGAAGCACCGGCUAACUACGUG
RNAcentral lists this ribosomal RNA (468 nucleotides) under uncultured bacterium. Its description in RNAcentral is "partial 16S ribosomal RNA". It matches the Rfam family "Bacterial small subunit ribosomal RNA", at positions 28 to 507 of the family's 1533-position model. The record is from RNAcentral.